AUUGAACGCUGGCGGCAUGCCUUACACAUGCAAGUCGAACGGUACGGGCCUUCGGGUGCCGACGAGUGGCGAACGGGUGAGUAAUACAUCGGAACGUGCCCGAUCGUGGGGGAUAACGAGGCGAAAGCUUUGCUAAUACCGCAUACGAUCUACGGAUGAAAGCAGGGGACCGCAAGGCCUUGCGCGGACGGAGCGGCCGAUGGCAGAUUAGGUAGUUGGUGGGAUAAAAGCUUACCAAGCCGACGAUCUGUAGCUGGUCUGAGAGGAUGAUCAGCCACACUGGGACUGAGACACGGCCCAGACUCCUACGGGAGGCAGCAGUGGGGAAUUUUGGACAAUGGGCGCAAGCCUGAUCCAGCCAUGCCGCGUGCAGGAUGAAGGCCUUCGGGUUGUAAACUGCUUUUGUACGGAACGAAAAGCCUUCUUUUAAUACAGGAGGGUCAUGACGGUACCGUAAGAAUAAGCACCGGCUAACUACGUG
Molecule: ribosomal RNA, 481 nt
Filed under: uncultured bacterium
Lineage: Bacteria
Description: partial 16S ribosomal RNA
Rfam family: Bacterial small subunit ribosomal RNA
Source: RNAcentral